Molecule: ribosomal RNA, 253 nt
Filed under: uncultured bacterium
Lineage: Bacteria
Description: partial 16S ribosomal RNA
Rfam family: Bacterial small subunit ribosomal RNA
Source: RNAcentral
UACGUAGGCAGCGAGCGUUGUUCGGAGUUACUGGGCGUAAAGGGUGUGUAGGCGGUUUUCUAAGUUUGGUGUGAAAUCUCCCGGCUCAACCGGGAGGGUGCGCCGAAAACUGGGAGACUAGAGUGCGGGAUGGGAGAGUAGAAUUCCUGGUGUAGCGGUGAAAUGCGUAGAUAUCAGGAGGAACACCUGUGGUGUAGACAGCUUACUGGACCAUUUCUGACGCUGAGACACGAAAGCGUGGGUAGCAAACAGG